This 782-nucleotide long non-coding RNA is filed under the name Homo sapiens (human). RNAcentral describes it as "non-protein coding lnc-WDPCP-1:18". The record is from RNAcentral. Lineage: Eukaryota; Metazoa; Chordata; Mammalia; Primates; Hominidae.
CACAUGAAAAGUCUUACGGAUAGACAAACUUCCAUUCAAGCCAAUGUCAAGUUUUCAUUGCAAGAAAGUAGCAGCCGUGUUUAAGGUAAGAAAGUUUCUGCUUUUAUUGAAAAUUUAUAUAUGACUCAGUAUUGUAAUAAAUAAACAUAACCAUUUUCACAAAAAAUGACAGUGCUAUGCUAAAGAAGAAAAUAUUAAAUGGGGGAUUUACUUGUAGUGGCAAGACAGACUUUUUAUCAAUACAGAAUAAAUAUUAACAGCAUUCGUGAGCCAAUGUUGAGACCCAACAAAAUGUAGGAAUCAAGCAUGAUGUAAGAAAUAAUUAUCCAGAGAAAAAGAUGGUGUAUUCUCGGAUGAUAAGACUGUCUUUGUAAACUGGUGCAUAUCAAUUAGUCCCAUCCUCACAGCUCACCUUCAAACCACAGGGCUUGUUUCUGGCUAUGUUAAAGGACCAUCCUCUGAGGAAAGCAGAGGAGAGGAACUCCAUUAUCCUUACAGUGAAACGCAACCACUGCAGAAAAACUCCACUGAGUUCGCUCCAAAUGCUCAUCUUCUUCUUCGGCCCUGGAUGUCAGACAAACAGGACAAACAGGAAACAAAAUUAUUUUUCUUCGUGGAGGGCAGAGCAGCACUCCCCCGUCGCCCAGUAUUUGGAUCCCCAGCGGGAAUGGGGAGCACCAGGCCAGUGGGAGGCUGCCCCGGCCCUCCCGCGACCUCUGGAUUGAACUUUCCGCACACUUCUCGGCCCCUCGGCAGGUGGCCCAGCCUCGACCCGACCCCAC